RNAcentral lists this ribosomal RNA (423 nucleotides) under uncultured prokaryote. RNAcentral describes it as "bacterial SSU rRNA". It matches the Rfam family "Bacterial small subunit ribosomal RNA", at positions 355 to 774 of the family's 1533-position model. The record is from RNAcentral.
UGAGGAAUCUUGGACAAUGGGGGCAACCCUGAUCCAGCGACGCCGCGUGAAGGACGAAGGUCUUCGGAUUGUAAACUUCUUUUCUCUGGGAAUAAGAAAGCCCCAGAAAUGGGGAUAGUGAAUGUACUAGAGGAAUAAGCCACGGCUAACUUCGUGCCAGCAGCCGCGGUAAUACGAAGGUGGCAAGCGUUACUCGGAAUUACUAGGCGUAAAGGGCAGGUAGGUGGUUUGAUAAGUCUGUUGUGUAAGCUCCUGGCUUAACUGGGAGAGGUCAACGGAAACUAUCAGGCUUGAGCAUAGGAGAGGGUACUGGAAUUCCCGGUGUAGCGGUGAAAUGCGCAGAGAUCGGGAGGAACACCAAUGGCGAAAGCAGGUACCUGGACUAUUGCUGACACUCAGCUGCGAAAGCUAGGGGAGCAAACA